RNAcentral lists this long non-coding RNA (470 nucleotides) under Bos taurus (domestic cattle). RNAcentral describes it as "long non-coding RNA NONBTAT002896". The record is from RNAcentral. Lineage: Eukaryota; Metazoa; Chordata; Mammalia; Artiodactyla; Bovidae.
GCCUACGGGGUGAUAUUUUUCUUAAAUCACACUGUUUUCAUUGUUAAAACGGAAUGCUGGAGAUGCUAAAAUGCAGUCAACUUAAAGAUAUUUAGGGAGUUAAACAACCUGUGAGAAGUCUGGUCUGUUCACAGAGAUGCUGUGUCUCUAUGCUUCAGUCACUGGUGAAUUACACGGUAAAGUGUGUGACUUAAAAUUACUUACUGAUAGAAUGUGACCGCUGAGUGGGACUCCAGAGAUAAUAUGCUCUGGUGGCAUAUUUUGUUUUUACACCAGCAAAACAGACUUAUUUACAGUCAUAAACACAAUUGUCUAUGGUUAGAAAAUACACCUUUGAUCUCCUGAGUUUUAGACUCUCUUUAAUGGCUUCUCGACACUUGUCACUAUUUCAGUGUAAUUGUUUCAUUCAAAACUGUUAAUUUGGUUCCUUCAUAUAGACACAGUCUAAGUCAAAUGAUGAAAAUCAUGAA